GUCCGCAUAGCUUAACACCUAAAGCAUGGCACUGAAGCUGCCAAGAUGGCACACAAACCAUGCCUGCGGACA
RNAcentral lists this transfer RNA (72 nucleotides) under Mergus serrator. Its description in RNAcentral is "tRNA-Phe". It matches the Rfam family "tRNA". From Rfam's summary of the family: Transfer RNA (tRNA) molecules are approximately 80 nucleotides in length. Their secondary structure includes four short double-helical elements and three loops (D, anti-codon, and T loops). Further hydrogen bonds mediate the characteristic L-shaped molecular structure. tRNAs have two regions of fundamental functional importance: the anti-codon, which is responsible for specific mRNA codon recognition, and the 3' end, to which the tRNAs corresponding amino acid is attached (by aminoacyl-tRNA synthetases). tRNAs cope with the degeneracy of the genetic code in two manners: having more than one tRNA (with a specific anti-codon) for a particular amino acid; and 'wobble' base-pairing, i.e. permitting non-standard base-pairing at the 3rd anti-codon position. The record is from RNAcentral. Lineage: Eukaryota; Metazoa; Chordata; Aves; Anseriformes; Anatidae.